This is a long non-coding RNA of Colius striatus (speckled mousebird), 934 nucleotides long. RefSeq lists it as uncharacterized. NCBI's taxonomy places the organism in Eukaryota, Metazoa, Chordata, Aves, Coliiformes, Coliidae. The transcript has 4 exons. The record is from RefSeq and is a predicted model, not a curated record.
AGUCUGGAGGCUCUCGGGAGGAAAAUGCCACCCUCAUGGGUGGCACAGGGACACCAGAGCCAGGCUGUGCCUGGCAGGACCCAAACUCAUCCUUUCUGAGAGGCUGGGGGGAAGAAUAAGGGCGUUUGGGUGACGGCUUUGAAAGAGCAGGCCUUUACAAAAGCCUUGGUUGGAUGUUCUACAUUUUCAGCUGUAACAGCAGAACUUUCCCACGCUGCCUCUCCAUUUAGCAGCUGACAAGCCAGACCUGUAAUCACCAUCUUUAUCCCAAGACAAGCUGAAAAACCAAAAUGUUUCUGAAACGCUGAAGACCCUUUCUGAAGAAAUGCAGAUGCCAUCAGUCGAUCCUUUCCACCUUCCCCAGGAUCCUCCCCUCGUACAUGGGCAGGAUGGUUUCGUCUUCCCAGAUCUCCUCAAACACCGCACCGCAGUCAAACUCGUCGCUUGCUUUUUUGAAGUAGUAUCUGUGGGGAGGAGAAUUAAAACACAGGAUGCUGCUCGGGAUGGGAUGCGGGGAGCAGGGCUCUGCACACUCCUCAGCCAUGGCAACAGCUUCCCCAAGUGAGGGAAUGACACAUGUUGGCACUGGAUAUCCUCAGCAGUAAGGAAAAUUAGAAAGCACAGUGAUUUCUGGCCAAAUGUCUUCUUUAAAAGAUAAAUAAAUAGGAUUUCAAAGCAAAGCAUUCUGAAGGUUCCCCUCUCUCUCCACCUUCUUUCUUUCAUGUGUUUUCUUGUUUCAAAGCUGAAGCCCAACAUUAAAAUUAGCAACUGUUAUUAAAAGGAGAGGCUUUUUAGGAUGAAAAGCAAACCAUGCCCUGCUUCCUGCAACGCACAAGCUGAAACUCUGUGGCGCUCCUACUGAAAAAGAAAACCCCAAACCGGGAGUUGCACACUCGAAACAACCCUGUGCCCAAUUCCCAGAUCCAUUUUAAGU